CCUACGGGAGGCAGCAGUGGGGAAUAUUGGGCAAUGGGCGCAAGCCUGACCCAGCAACGCCGCGUGAAGGAAGAAGGCUCUCGGGUUGUAAACUUCUUUUGACAGGGAAGAGUAGAAGACGGUACCUGUCGAAUAAGCUACGGCUAACUACGUGCCAGCAGCUGCGGUAAUACGUAGGUGGCAAGCGUUGUCCGGAUUUACUGGGUGUAAAGGGCGUGUAGCCGGGUUGACAAGUCAGAUGUGAAAUCCUGCGGCUUAACCGCAGAACUGCAUUUGAAACUGUUGAUCUUGAGUACUGGAGAGGCAGACGGAAUUCCUGGUGUAGCGGUGAAAUGCGUAGAUAUUAGGAGGAACACCAGUGGCGAAGGCAGUCUGCUAAACAGCAACUGACGGUGAGGCGCGAAAGCGUGGGGAGCAAACAGGAUUAGAUACCCGGGUAGUC
Molecule: ribosomal RNA, 442 nt
Filed under: uncultured bacterium
Lineage: Bacteria
Description: partial 16S ribosomal RNA
Rfam family: Bacterial small subunit ribosomal RNA
Source: RNAcentral